RNAcentral lists this unclassified non-coding RNA (679 nucleotides) under Hevea brasiliensis (rubber tree). The record is from RNAcentral. Lineage: Eukaryota; Viridiplantae; Streptophyta; Magnoliopsida; Malpighiales; Euphorbiaceae.
CAAUAGAGUAAGCAAACAACUAAAAUUUCCAUGCUCUUGUGGGUUUUCUUUUAUUAUCGCUUCUGUUAAACAUAUUCAUUCAAAAUGGUUAUAGGGCCAGCUGAUAAAAUGCUUCAAUGCGCUGAAAGAAAUGGUGGAAAUGGACUGGUACAAUUCAACGAUGGAUACAGUUUCGAGCACAAGAACCCCUUUGAGCGUGCUGGACAGGCAUUGCAUCAAAUCAGAAAGUCAGACCACCAACAUCUCUGCCACUGCAUUGCCCCAGAAGAGAGAAAUCAAGCGGCGCUCAAAACGAUUGGCUAUUACAGCAAGUGACAAUAUGGUCCAGCUGAAUUUCGCAGAUUCAAGCAGAGCAAAUAACUCUGUUUCGAGGGGAAAUUUGCAAUUGGUCAAUUCCUCAAGCGCCAUAACAGAACCCACAGAGGAAUAGCUUGCAAUGAGACAAUCUACAUCCCCAAAAAAAAAUAAAAAAAGAGAAUUUAUUUGCGUUUAUGGGAUUUUGAGAUGGGGUAAAGAAGGUAUUGGGAAGGGACGACGAAUGACAAAACAGAGCUUUGAAUGUCAACUUUUUCUAUAUGUUUCUGGAUAAAUGGUUGUCUGUUUCCUGGUGGCAGAGAGCGAAUUGCAGUAUUUUUUUUCUUUUUUUAAAAUGCCAAGAUAAUGAAUUUCUUGAGAAGGG